GGGGGUCAGGAGGGGAAAUUUGGCAAAAUCCGCCCCCCCCACAAAUAAAUACGCACCGUUGCCCCUCCCCCAAGGGGGCGUGGUCUGCUCUAACAGCCGAUUGGCACCCCCAAAACCUGGGCAAUGGGUCGGGCCGUGGGUCCCCCCCGCUGUGGGGUCUGGAGUGGGUCAGUCCGUGGGUCUCCCCCCCACCAUGGGGGUCUGGAGUGGGUCAAUCCGUGGGUCUCCCCCCCAUGGGGGUCUGGAGUGGGUCAAUCCGUGGGUCCCUCCAUGGGGGGCUGGAGUGGGUCAGUCCAUGGGUCCCUGUGGAGCGGGUUGGUCCAUGGGUCCCCCCGUGGGGUCUGGAGUGGGUCUGUCCGUGGGUCCGUCCGUGGGUCCCCCCCAUAGGGGGCUGGAGCAGGUCAGUCGUGGAUUGUCUCCCCCCCCCCCCGCUGUGGGGUCCGCCGUGGGUCGCUCCGUGGUGCCUCUCCCCCCCGCGGGGGGCCAGAAUGGUUCAGUCUGCAGCCCCGGCCCCCCCCAAGAUGGGGGGCACAAUGGGUCGGUCCAUGGUUCCCCCCAUGGGGGUCUGUGGUGGGUCAGUCCGUGCUUCCCCAUGGCCAUGCUGUGGGUCGGUCCAUGCCCCUCUUUGGGGUCCCGCCGUGGGUCAGUCCAUGCUCCCCCAUGGCCGCGCCGUGGGUCGGUCCGUGCUCCCCAUGGGGUCUUGCCGUGGGUCAGUCCGCACCCCCAUGGGGUCCCGCCGUGGUCCGGCUCAUGCUCCCCCCACGGCGUCUUGCUGUGGGUCGGUCCAAGCUCCCCCCACGGGGUCUUGCCGUGGGUCAGUCCGUGCCCCCCCCAGGGUCUCACUGUGGGUCGCUCCGUGCCCCCCGCGGGAUCUCGCCGUGGGUCAGUCUGUGCCCCCCACGGGGUCUUGCCAUGGGUCAGUCCAUGACCCCCACAGGGUCUUGCUGUGGGUCAGUCUGUGCCCCCCACGGGGUCUUGCCGUGGGUCAGUCCGUGCCCCCCACGGGGUCUCGCCGUGGGUCGCUCCAUGCCCCCCACAGGAUCUCGCCGUGGGUCAGUCUGUGCCCCCCACGGGGUCUUGCCGUGGGUCAGUCCGUGCCCCCCACGGGGUCUCGCCGUGGGUCGCUCCACACUCUCCCCACGGGGGGUCUCGCCAUGGCGCGCCCCACGGCAGCGGCGGCGGCGUGGGGGGGGCGGGCGGCCGUGGGG
Molecule: long non-coding RNA, 1208 nt
Organism: Apteryx rowi (Okarito brown kiwi)
Lineage: Eukaryota; Metazoa; Chordata; Aves; Apterygiformes; Apterygidae
Source: Ensembl